Molecule: long non-coding RNA, 1575 nt
Organism: Mustela erminea (ermine)
Lineage: Eukaryota; Metazoa; Chordata; Mammalia; Carnivora; Mustelidae
Exons: 3
Source: RefSeq, a predicted model, not a curated record
AACCCAUGUGCAUUGACAGAUGAAUGGAUAAGGAAGAUGUGGUCAUAUCUAUGAUGGAAUAUAGCCAUGAAGAAGAAGUGAAAUCUCGCUAUUGACAACAACAUGGAUGGACUGUAAUGCUAAAAGAAUAAGGCAGAGAAAACAAAUAGUGUCUGAUUUCACCUAUAUAUAAAAUCUAAAAGGAAAACAAGGCUCAUAGAUGCAGAGAAGAGAUUGGUUGUUUCCAGAGUCUAGCUGCCUCAAACAAUGCUUGAAGCAAGCACACCAGCAAGCCAGGACAAUACAGAGCCUAUAGCUCUGGGAAGUCUGUUGCUGUUUUCCUGUGGGAUAAAUUCCAACGGUGAGAUCGUUGGGUCAUGGAGUACGUGUAUUUCAAAACUUAACAGCAACUGCAGAUUUCUUCCUCACAAAGCUGUAGGAAUUCACAAGCCAUGGGCCUCGAGCCCUGUUUACCGUGCACCGUGCCAACGGGUGAGUUCCCUGGAGAUUCAGCAUCAAGAGUUUCUAGAGAAAAUUGUUAUCAGAGCCCAUUUUGUAGGACUGGGGUCCAAGUAUUCUGAAUGCAUUUUCUUCUUCGAGAACUGAUCCUAGCAGGGAUCAAAUACAUCUUGAUUGAAUCUGAACCUUCCUGCAUGGAGACUGAACUGGUUGCUGGGCCUCAUGGCUGGAUUAGCUGUUGGAGAGCCAGCUCCUGGCCCCCUAUGGAAGCACACAGCCCACCCCAGCACCGUGCAAUUCCAGCCAGCUACCAGCAGGGUCUCUGAGCUGGAGCCUGGCGGGGGUAACUCGUCCUUAGAACACAGCAGGCAGGUGUGCAGGGCAGGGCUACACCACCCAGGUCACGGAGAGAGAAGCAAGCAGACUGUGAGUGAACACAGCCUGGCCAAAGGCAAGUGGAGGUCUGAGGACAGGAGGCUCAGCCCUUCUGAGCGGAGAACUGUUGAAGAACUUCAGAGAAAACCAAACCACAGAUUUUUGUUUGUUCGCUUGUUUUUCUUUCAGUGUUACUGAGAUGUAGUUGACAUGCAGCACUGUGCAAAUGUAAGGUGCACAUGUGUUGUGAAAUGAUGACCAUGAUAAGUUUAGUUAACACCUAUCAUCUCCUACAGAUGCCAAAAUAAAUAAAUAAAUAAAUAAAUAAGAGAAAAUGAAAGAAAAAAAAAGGAACAAGAAGAAAUGUAUUUUUCUUUUGAUGAGUACUUUUAGAAUUUGCAACCUUAGUCACUUUCAAAUAUACCAACAGCAGCGUUAACUAUAGUCCUCAUGUUGUACGUUAUAUCCACAAUAUUUACAUAUCUUCUUCUGGAAAUUUGUACCUCUGACCCCCUUCAUCUGUUUCCCCACUGCCCCCGCCUCUGGAAACCACACGUCUGAUCUCUUUUUGUAUGAGGGUUUUUUUUGUGUGGUUUUUUUGUUUUUGUUUUUGUUUUUUAAACUCCACAUACAAGUGAAAUCAUGUAGUGUUUGUCUUUCUCUGACUCAUUUCAUUCAGUUUAGAACUCUCAGGUCCACCCACACUUUUUUUUUUUUUCCCUUAAGAUUUUAUUUAUUUGUCAGAGAGAAAGAGUGAGCACA